UUCCGGGCCUUGUACACACCGCCCGUCACACCACGAAAGUUGGCAAUACCCGAAGCCGGUGGCCUAACCCGCAAGGGAGGGAGCCGUCUAAGGUAGGGUCGAUGAUUGGGGUG
This 113-nucleotide ribosomal RNA is filed under the name uncultured bacterium. Its description in RNAcentral is "partial 16S ribosomal RNA". It matches the Rfam family "Bacterial small subunit ribosomal RNA", at positions 1372 to 1482 of the family's 1533-position model. The record is from RNAcentral.